RNAcentral lists this ribosomal RNA (497 nucleotides) under uncultured bacterium. Its description in RNAcentral is "partial 16S ribosomal RNA". It matches the Rfam family "Bacterial small subunit ribosomal RNA", at positions 28 to 507 of the family's 1533-position model. The record is from RNAcentral.
GAUGAGCGCUGGCGGCGUGCCUAAUACAUGCAAGUAGAACGCUGAAGCUUGGUGCUUGCCCCGAGCGGAUGAGUUGCGAACGGGUGAGUAACGCGUAGGUAACCUGCCUCUUAGCGGGGGAUAACUAUUGGAAACGAUAGCUAAUACCGCAUAAAAGUCGAUAUCGCAUGAUAUUGAUUUGAAAGGUGCAAAUGCAUCACUAAGAGAUGGACCUGCGUUGUAUUAGCUAGUUGGUGAGGUAACGGCUCACCAAGGCGACGAUACAUAGCCGACCUGAGAGGGUGAUCGGCCACACUGGGACUGAGACACGGCCCAGACUCCUACGGGAGGCAGCAGUAGGGAAUCUUCGGCAAUGGGGGCAACCCUGACCGAGCAACGCCGCGUGAGUGAAGAAGGUUUUCGGAUCGUAAAGCUCUGUUGUAAGAGAAGAACGAGUGUGAGAGUGGAAAGUUCACACUGUGACGGUAACUUACCAGAAAGGGACGGCUAACUACGUG